UGGGGAAUUUUCCGCAAUGGGCGGAAGCCUGACGGAGCAAUGCCGCGUGGAGGUGGAAGGCCUACGGGUCGUCAACUUCUUUUCUCGGAGAAGAAACAAUGACGGUAUCUGAGGAAUAAGCAUCGGCUAACUCUGUGCCAG
Molecule: ribosomal RNA, 141 nt
Filed under: uncultured bacterium
Lineage: Bacteria
Description: partial 16S rRNA
Rfam family: Bacterial small subunit ribosomal RNA
Source: RNAcentral